Molecule: ribosomal RNA, 1044 nt
Filed under: uncultured organism
Description: bacterial SSU rRNA
Rfam family: Bacterial small subunit ribosomal RNA
Source: RNAcentral
GGUAGUAAUACUGGAUGAGUUUAGUGGCGGACGGGUGAGUAAUGCAUGGGUAACGUACCCCAGGCACAGGGAUAGCGGUGCGAAAGCGCCGGUAAUACCUGGUGAUAUCCGGGAGUCGCAUGGCUUCUGGAUCAUAGGUGGGGACCUUCGGGCCUACUGGCCUGGGAUCGGCCCAUGUCCUAUCAGCUUGUUGGUGGGGUAAUGGCCUACCAAGGCGAAGACGGGUAGCCGGCGUGAGAGCGCGACCGGCCACAUCGGGACUGAGACACUGCCCGGACACCUACGGGUGGCUGCAGCAACGAAUAUUCCGCAAUGGGCGCAAGCCUGACGGAGCGACGCCGCGUGGAGGAUGAAGUCUUUCGGGAUGUAAACUUCAAUAGUUUGCCAGGAAGCAAAGGGACCUAAUACGUCCCGGCGUUGACCAGCGAACGAAAGGGGCGGCUAACUCCGUGCCAGCAGCCGCGGUAAGACGGAGGCCCCUAGCGUUGUUCGGAAUCACUGGGCUUAAAGAGGGUGUAGGCGGAGCAGCAAGUACUUUGUGAAAGCCCCGGGCUCAACCCGGGAAUUGCUUGGUAUACUGUUGCUCUUGAGGCAGGUAGGGGUCACUGGAACCUUAGGUGGAGCGGUGAAAUGCGUAGAUAUCUAAGGGAACGCCUGUGGCGAAAGCGGGUGACUGGGCCUGUCCUUGACGCUGAGACCCGAAAGCGUAGGGAGCAAACAGGAUUAGAUACCCUGGUAGUCUACGCCGUAAACGAUGCGCACUAGGUUCGAGAGCUACUGACGGCCCUCGUGCCGAAGCAAAAGUACUAAGUGCGCCGCCUGGGGAGUACGCCCGCAAGGCUCAAACUCAAAGACAUUGACGGGGGCUCACACAAACGCUGGAGCAUGUGGAUCAAUUCGAAGCAACGCGAAGAACACCACCCGGGUGUGACACGCACGGAUGCCCCUCUGGAGACAGGAGUAAGCAGCCACUCGGGUGAAACGUGCACAGGUGCGUGCAUGGCAGUCGUCAGCUCGUCCUGUGAAGUGUACAGGGUUAAGUCC